GACGAACGCUGGCGGCGCGCUUAACACAUGCAAGUCGAACGGAAAGGCCUGCUUUCCCUUGUGGAUUGCGGGUACUCGAGUGGCGAACGGGUGAGUAACACGUGAGUGAUCUGCCCCCAACUUGGGUAUAAGCCUGGGAAACUGGGUCUAAUUCCCGAUAGGACUGCAGGGUGGUGCCUGUGGUGGAAAACGAUUUUCUAGUGGUUGGGGAUGAGCUCGCGGCCUAUCAGCUUGUUGGUGGGGUAAUGGCCUACCAAGGCGGGGACGGGUAGCCGGCCUGGGAGGGUGGACGGGCACAUUGGGACUGAGAUACGGCCCAGACUACUACGGGAGGCAGCAGUGGGGAAUAUUGCACAAUGGGCGGAAGACUGAUGCAGCGACGCCGAGUGGGGGAUGACGGCCUUCGGGUUGUAAACUCCUUUCGACCGCGAGGAAGCCACCUGGUUGGAAGGGUGGUGACGGUAGUGGUAGAAGAAGCACCGGCUAACUACGUG
RNAcentral lists this ribosomal RNA (494 nucleotides) under uncultured bacterium. RNAcentral's name for it is "partial 16S ribosomal RNA". It matches the Rfam family "Bacterial small subunit ribosomal RNA", at positions 28 to 507 of the family's 1533-position model. The record is from RNAcentral.